Molecule: non-coding RNA, 27 nt
Filed under: Mus musculus (house mouse)
Lineage: Eukaryota; Metazoa; Chordata; Mammalia; Rodentia; Muridae
Source: RNAcentral
UGGAUUUUUAGUGUGUUCGAUGCAGUU